UACAGAGGGUGCGAGCGUUAAUCGGAAUUACUGGGCGUAAAGCGUGCGCAGGCGGUUUUGUAAGCCAGGUGUGAAAUCCCCGGGCUCAACCUGGGAAUGGCAUUUGGGACUGCAAGGCUGGAGUGCGGCAGAGGAGACUGGAAUUCCUGGUGUAGCAGUGAAAUGCGUAGAUAUCAGGAGGAACACCGAUGGCGAAGGCAGGUCUCUGGGCUGACACUGACGCUCAUGCACGAAAGCGUGGGGAUCAAACAGG
Molecule: ribosomal RNA, 253 nt
Filed under: uncultured bacterium
Lineage: Bacteria
Description: partial 16S ribosomal RNA
Rfam family: Bacterial small subunit ribosomal RNA
Source: RNAcentral